Molecule: ribosomal RNA, 440 nt
Filed under: uncultured bacterium
Lineage: Bacteria
Description: partial 16S ribosomal RNA
Rfam family: Bacterial small subunit ribosomal RNA
Source: RNAcentral
CCUACGGGUGGCAGCAGUGGGGAAUAUUGCACAAUGGGGGAAACCCUGAUGCAGCGACGCCGCGUGAGUGAAGAAGUAUUUCGGUAUGUAAAGCUCUAUCAGCAGGGAAGAAAAUGACGGUACCUGAUGAAGAAGCCACGGCUAACUACGUGACAGCAGCCGCGGUAAUACGUAGGGGGCAAGCGUUAUCCGGAUUUACUGGGGGUAAAGGGAGCGUAGUCGGCAGCACAAGGUUGGUGUGAAAUGCCGGGGCUUAACCCCGGAACUGCUUUGGAAACUGUGCAGCUUGAGUGCAGGAGAGGUAAGUGGAAUUCCUGGUGUAGCGGUGAAAUGCGUAGAUAUUAGGAGGAACACCAGUGGCGAAGGCAGCUUACUGGACUGUAACUGACGUUGAGGCUCGAAAGCGUGGGGAGCAAACAGGAUUAGAUACCCGGGUAGUC